This 106-nucleotide non-coding RNA is filed under the name Bacillus sp. (in: firmicutes). Its description in RNAcentral is "Bacillus sp. SAM-I sequence". It matches the Rfam family "SAM riboswitch aptamer (S box leader)". Rfam says of the family: The SAM riboswitch is found upstream of a number of genes which code for proteins involved in methionine or cysteine biosynthesis in Gram-positive bacteria. The SAM riboswitch acts at the level of transcription termination control. The record is from RNAcentral. Lineage: Bacteria; Bacillati; Bacillota; Bacilli; Caryophanales; Bacillaceae.
CUCUUAUAAAGAGCGGCGGAGGGAAGUGCCCUAUGAAGCCCGGCAACCAUCACAUAUGUGAAAAGGUGCCAAGUCACGCAAAGUAUAACACUUUGAAAGAUGAGAG